This is a long non-coding RNA of Empidonax traillii (willow flycatcher), 1154 nucleotides long. RefSeq lists it as uncharacterized. The record is from RefSeq and is a predicted model, not a curated record. Lineage: Eukaryota; Metazoa; Chordata; Aves; Passeriformes; Tyrannidae. The transcript is spliced from 2 exons.
CAGGAGAAGCUGUGCCCCGGUGAUCAAGCCUUGAAGUGCAUUUCAUGAUUGGUGUGGGAAACUGUAGGAACAUUGGAAUACUGUUUAAUGAGGAGAAAGUAGAGUAAAAGCAACAGACAGGGUGAAAACAGGUGAGAGACCAUGGUUUGACCUUAAGGGUAGAGAAAAUAUCCUCACUGAUGCAUGAGUGGCGUGAAAGGAGGAAGAAAUGACUCUCAGAUACAUGAAGAUGGAUGAGUUUGCUGCUGGUUUAAUAUUUCCUGUGCAUCCCUAGCGCAGGUCCAGGUCCUACUUCCAUGAAUCAGAUCAACUUCAAGGACAGCUGGAAAAACUGAUGCUGACUUUCAGAAAGGUUUGGGAGUCAGUGAGAACAAGACUAGGGCAUGUGGGACUGGCAGAAGGAGCCAGAGGCCAUGUGGGCUGCCAAACAGUUGGAAGUACCAGAAUUCACUGUCUGUUUGCAGGAGCAGCAUCAGCUACAGGCUUCCCUUGUGACCUUGACCUUAGACUACAUCUCAGCUGUGACACUCAGGAAGGCUCCAAGAUUUUUAGCUUGUGUGCUGGACGUGUUCAGACCUCAUAUCCAUAUUUGGGUUAGUCCUUGGUGUGCACCAACCUCCUUCCAUUCGAACUCUGUGGAAAAACCUGUACUCCUCCCAGGUCCCAUUUGCAGUGACUGGAGGACAGGUCUUGCCAUGUUGAGGACACACAGGUCACUUUGGUGGCAGCCUAAAUCUGCGUUUUUGCUUUGGUUCUUCAUAUGCAAAAUAGAAAUAAUAGUUUUCUACUUUGAAUAGGCCAUUGCCUUUCCUCUAUAAUAAGACAGUAAAUACAACCACUUUAUAAUCACAAAGUUAAUCUUAAUAAUUUUAUGUAAAUACAUACAUAGUAAGGGGUUGUGAAGUCCCUCUGUAUUGAAGCCAAGAUAUGGACAGUUACCUUAUCAAAACCCCAGGUAUUUAUUACAGUCUAUCUUCCUACAAAAUCUCUUUCUGCCUCCUGCCUGCACCAUGGAAGGGGUCCAUGAAGUCACCACCUUAGGUACCUGUAUCCACAUGGCUACAAGCAGAAGUUUUGUCAUGAAAUGGGCUGUGAGAUAGAAAUUAUGGACCAAAUCAUAGGGAUUAAUCAAUGUUUUCAGCACUGGCAGUCUG